RNAcentral lists this unclassified non-coding RNA (253 nucleotides) under uncultured bacterium. RNAcentral's name for it is "contains 16S-23S intergenic spacer region". It matches the Rfam family "Bacterial small subunit ribosomal RNA", at positions 524 to 776 of the family's 1533-position model. The record is from RNAcentral.
UACGUAGGACCCAAGCGUUAUCCGGAAUUACUGGGCGUAAAGCGUACGUAGGCGGUUUGUUAAGUGAGAUGUUAAAUCCGGUGGCUCAACCAUUUGGCUGCAUCUCAAACUGACGGACUGGAGUAUAGGAGAGGUAAGUGGAAUUACCGGUGUAGCAGUGAAAUGCGUAGAUAUCGGUAGGAACACCAAUGGCGAAGGCAGCUUACUGGCCUAUUACUGACGCUGAGGUACGAAAGCGUGGGGAGCGAACAGG